Molecule: ribosomal RNA, 158 nt
Filed under: uncultured Cortinarius
Lineage: Eukaryota; Fungi; Basidiomycota; Agaricomycetes; Agaricales; Cortinariaceae
Description: 5.8S ribosomal RNA
Rfam family: 5.8S ribosomal RNA
About the family: 5.8S ribosomal RNA (5.8S rRNA) is a component of the large subunit of the eukaryotic ribosome. It is transcribed by RNA polymerase I as part of the 45S precursor that also contains 18S and 28S rRNA.
Source: RNAcentral
CAACUUUCAGCAACGGAUCUCUUGGCUCUCGCAUCGAUGAAGAACGCAGCGAAAUGCGAUAAGUAAUGUGAAUUGUAGAAUUCAGUGAAUCAUCGAAUCUUUGAACGCACCUUGCGCUCCUUGGUAUUCCGAGGAGCAUGCCUGUUUGAGUGUCAUUA